AACGAGGUCACUGGCGGUGUAGUUGCUGCCCCCAUCGAUUCCUUCUUAGUAUAACGUGCGUGUAAUCCUUUGCUGAGCGAAUAGCUGCAGAGCACCGCGUCGUGGGUCACCCAUGAGUUGUCUUCAUCUUGGCGCAGUUCUCGUCGUCUUGGUAGCCUCAGUGGUGAUGGCACCUCCGGUAGCUCCACUGAAGUUGUCGAGCCAUUGCUGCAGUUGCCG
This 219-nucleotide long non-coding RNA is filed under the name Setaria italica (foxtail millet). RNAcentral's name for it is "long non-coding RNA (SITA_LNC001908)". The record is from RNAcentral. Lineage: Eukaryota; Viridiplantae; Streptophyta; Magnoliopsida; Poales; Poaceae.